Molecule: long non-coding RNA, 359 nt
Filed under: Manihot esculenta (cassava)
Lineage: Eukaryota; Viridiplantae; Streptophyta; Magnoliopsida; Malpighiales; Euphorbiaceae
Description: long non-coding RNA (MESC_LNC010123)
Source: RNAcentral
AGAGGAAAAUAGAAAAAGAAAAAAAGAACUAACAGGUCGUUAUUCCGUCUUUUCUCCUUUGGUACCUGAAGGCGCAUCGUAUUAUUUUACGUGUACUUGAUUUUAGCGUCGAAAAUAUGCUCAGCUUCGAUUUUAAUUAUUUAUUUAUAAUAGAACGUAAAUAUAAAAAAGAAAAAAAAAGAAAAGGAAAAGAAAGAAAGAAAUUCACAAUAAUAAUCUCCGAACAUCUUAAUAUGAGACUUCAUCUCUUCACAACGGGAUAUAUGUAUAUAUAUUUCUCUUUUUUCCCGAAACAAAUAAAUACUUCUUGAAUAAAUGAAUAAAGAAUUGAAAAAAGAAUCAGCACAGUUACAUAGCCG